CAAGCCCCUGGUCUGAAUCUUUUCCCCAUCUCCAAGCGGCGGUUUCCUCUGACGCCCCGUUGGUUGGCUGCAAUAAAGCGGGUAUUACCACCCUGCUGCUGGUUGUUGGAGGUAGAAGGGGCUUUAAAGAGAUCCCCUAAGGUUGCAUACAACUUAUGAGCAUUAGAUGCAGAACCAGGAAAAGCAGGGGGAUUGGCAGGCAC
Molecule: long non-coding RNA, 203 nt
Filed under: Elaeis guineensis (African oil palm)
Lineage: Eukaryota; Viridiplantae; Streptophyta; Magnoliopsida; Arecales; Arecaceae
Description: long non-coding RNA (EGUI_LNC005029)
Source: RNAcentral